CUGUUUCCUCAGCAUGAUCGCUUUCGUUUUGAAAGACUCGGUAAGUCAGUGAUUUGAUACCCGGUACUUUACCUUGUCCCCGGCGAAGUCUUCAGCAGAAUUGUCGCUAUCUCUCCAUCAAAGUUGUUCUCUUCAGCAGAGCAGGAUUUAUUUUCCUACUCAGCGGUUGAUUUGGGUUAACAUCCCAGUAUUGCAUCCAUCUUUUCCUCAGCUUAGUCUGCAGAAUGUUUGUUGUGGCAGUUUCG
This 245-nucleotide long non-coding RNA is filed under the name Lathyrus oleraceus (garden pea). RNAcentral describes it as "Pisum sativum (pea) long non-coding RNA (PSAT_LNC016022)". Lineage: Eukaryota; Viridiplantae; Streptophyta; Magnoliopsida; Fabales; Fabaceae. The record is from RNAcentral.